RNAcentral lists this ribosomal RNA (490 nucleotides) under uncultured bacterium. RNAcentral's name for it is "partial 16S ribosomal RNA". It matches the Rfam family "Bacterial small subunit ribosomal RNA", at positions 899 to 1397 of the family's 1533-position model. The record is from RNAcentral.
ACUCAAAUGAAUUGACGGGGACCCGCACAACCGGUGGAGCGUGUGGUUCAAUUCGAGACAAAGCGAAAACCUUACCAGGGUUUGACAUCUUACCGUUUUAUACCUAUGGAAACACUGGUAGAUCCGCAAGGAUGGUAGGACAGGUGUUGCAUGGCUGUCGUCAGUUCGUGCCGUGAGGUGUUCCCUUAAGUGGGGAAACGAACGCAACCCCCGUGUAAUGUUAUAUAUUCAUUACAGACUGCUCUGCUUUUCGCAGAGAGGAAGGAGGGGCGGAUGUCAAGUCAGCACGGCCCUUAUACCCUGGGAUACACACACCCUACAAUGGCGAAAAACAAUGAGCUGCAAGUCGGUAACGGCAAGCUAAUCUCACAAAUUUCGCCUCAGUUCAGAUUGAGGUCUGCAACCCGACCUCAUGAAGUCGGAAUCGGUAGUAAUCGCGUAUCAGAAGGACGCGGUGAAUACGUUCUCGGGUCUUGUACACACCGCCCGU